Molecule: transfer RNA, 73 nt
Filed under: Myxococcales bacterium
Lineage: Bacteria; Pseudomonadati; Myxococcota; Myxococcia; Myxococcales
Description: tRNA-Pro
Rfam family: tRNA
About the family: Transfer RNA (tRNA) molecules are approximately 80 nucleotides in length. Their secondary structure includes four short double-helical elements and three loops (D, anti-codon, and T loops).
Source: RNAcentral
CGGGGCGUGGCGCAGCUGGUAGCGCACCGGUUUUGGGAGCCGGGGGUCGCCGGUUCAAAUCCGGCCGCCCCGA